AUGAACGCUAGCUACAGGCUUAACACAUGCAAGUCGCGGGGCAGCAUGGGGGUUGCUUGCAAUCCCCGAUGGCGACCGGCGCACGGGUGAGUAACGCGUAUCCAACCUGCCCUUCACCACGGGAUAACCCGGCGAAAGUCGGACUAAUACCGUAUGUUGUCCAUUGACGGCAUCCGAUUUGGACGAAAGGCUUGGCGGUGAGGGAUGGGGAUGCGUCCGAUUAGCCAGACGGCGGGGUAACGGCCCACCGUGGCUACGAUCGGGAGGGGUUCUGAGAGGAAGGUCCCCCACGCUGGAACUGAGACACGGUCCAGACUCCUACGGGAGGCAGCAGUGAGGAAUAUUGGUCAAUGGGCGUAAGCCUGAACCAGCCAAGUAGCGUGCAGGAUGACGGCCCUAUGGGUUGUAAACUGCUUUUAUGCGGGGAUAAAGUGGCCCACGUGUGGGCUUUUGCAGGUACCGCAUGAAUAAGGACCGGCUAAUUCCGUG
RNAcentral lists this ribosomal RNA (489 nucleotides) under uncultured bacterium. RNAcentral's name for it is "partial 16S ribosomal RNA". It matches the Rfam family "Bacterial small subunit ribosomal RNA", at positions 29 to 507 of the family's 1533-position model. The record is from RNAcentral.